CUUCCGGAGCUAACGCGUUAAGUAGACCGCCUGGGGAGUACGGCCGCAAGGUUAAAACUCAAAUGAAUUGACGGGGGCCCGCACAAGCGGUGGAGCAUGUGGUUUAAUUCGAUGCAACGCGAAGAACCUUACCUGGUCUUGACAUCCACAGAACUUUCCAGAGAUGGAUUGGUGCCUUCGGGAACUGUGAGACAGGUGCUGCAUGGCUGUCGUCAGCUCGUGUUGUGAAAUGUUGGGUUAAGUCCCGCAACGAGCGCAACCCUUAUCCUUUGUUGCCAGCGAUUAGGUCGGGAACUCAAAGGAGACUGCCAGUGAUAAACUGGAGGAAGGUGGGGAUGACGUCAAGUCAUCAUGGCCCUUACGACCAGGGCUACACACGUGCUACAAUGGCGCAUACAAAGAGAAGCGACCUCGCGAGAGCAAGCGGACCUCAUAAAGUGCGUCGUAGUCCGGAUUGGAGUCUGCAACUCGACUCCAUGAAGUCGGAAUCGCUAGUAAUCGUGGAUCAGAAUGCCACGGUGAAUACGUUCCCGGGCCUUGUACACACCGCCCGUCACACCAUGGGAGUGGGUUGCAAAAGAAGUAGGUAGCUUAACCUUCGGGAGGGCGCUUACCACUUUGUGAUUCAUGACUGGGGUGAAGUCGUAACAAGGUAACCGUAGGGGAACCUGCGGUUGGAUCACCUCCUUAC
RNAcentral lists this ribosomal RNA (691 nucleotides) under Salmonella enterica subsp. enterica serovar Typhimurium. Its description in RNAcentral is "bacterial SSU rRNA". It matches the Rfam family "Bacterial small subunit ribosomal RNA", at positions 843 to 1533 of the family's 1533-position model. The record is from RNAcentral. Lineage: Bacteria; Pseudomonadati; Pseudomonadota; Gammaproteobacteria; Enterobacterales; Enterobacteriaceae.